AUUUUUCUACAAUUUAGUCUGGAAGGUAUCCGAAUCGUCUUGCUAUCUCCUUUUCAUUAUAUGCACCCAGAUCCAUCACAGUUUUGUAUUUCAAAAUACUAUUUUACUAGUGAAAAAAAAAACAUAAAUAUCAUCAUUUCCAGUAAUAAAGUCGCAUAAAGUCGACCGAGAUAAAUGCCACUAUGGAGUUAUUGCGUCUAUUUGAGAUAUUUUUUUAAAUAACUUUAAUAGGUAUUAAGAGCUCCCGUCAUCAAGUGAUAAAAGCCUGAUCUAUUUGGAGAACAAAAGGUAACAUAGAGGGCGUAUCGAUUAAUCAGACCGGCCAAUUCCAGGAAUAACGGAAUAGACGCAAUAAACCCAUAUUGUGGUUGACAUUGUAUGUUUUAUAAAUUAUAUUAUAAAUUAUACAUAAAUAUCGGGACGAACUCUCUAUUUAUAAUAUAAAUGUUAGCUACUCAUAUAGUGACUGAGCUGUUUCCUAAAAGCGCUGUGAACGCAGUCCUCGUGUCGGGCUUCAAUAAUCCAUUCACUGCCCUGAUUCCACCAAAAAGGCUUCUUUUCGUUGAGAAUUCUACGGACUUAUGCCCUAUUUCAUAUGGAGAGCAUUGUGUAGGUUAAACGAGAAACAAUCUCGCCAAUUGAAUCAUAUUCACUACGCUGCGUAUAUCAUAGCUAUAUUAUGUACAGGUUAUUUAAAUUAAUCUAAAGUGGAGGUCGAGAGCUAUAAUAGCGAUAACGGAGGUAUUGAGACUAUUAAGCUGUAAAAGGGGACUAGAGAGAUAACAGUAGUAAAGUGGGAGAAACGGUGGCGUCCUAAUGGUUUUCAAGUAACUUAAUCAGAGAGUGCGUUCGGAUCAGCAUUACUCUUGAGCAGCAGCUGAAUGAUGAGGGUGUGGCCUUGCUGCGACGCUUGGUGCAGCGGAGUGAACCUGAACAGGAUACAAUUAAAGUCAAUUACAAACUAUACUAGGGCGCGAUACAAACAUGAAGAGCAAACGCAAAGCGCAUAAAGAGAUAUAGAGGUUUAAGAAAUGCUUGGCUGACAUCCUUUUCUCCUCUUCUCUCACUGACAGAUGACAUCAGCUUUGACUUGGGUUUGUCUCAUUUGCGAUGUUAAAUCAUUAUAAUGUAAAGUUUAAAGUAUAUUACUCUGUUAUAGUGUAAUGUUUAGAUAGUUAUUUUAUUUGUUGAUAUGGUGUUAAAUUAAUUUGUAACAUUUGCGCUUACUUGUAAAGCAUGCUGUGUACACUUGUUUUGGAUCUCGUGGUAGAUUCCAAGCCAUGAUAUGCAAUUGUAUGUUUCAUGAUAUUGUAGGAUUUCUGUUAAGUGUACCCAAUAAAGUCAAAUAAUAUAA
This is a long non-coding RNA of Cydia pomonella (codling moth), 1354 nucleotides long. RefSeq lists it as uncharacterized. The transcript has 2 exons. Lineage: Eukaryota; Metazoa; Arthropoda; Insecta; Lepidoptera; Tortricidae. The record is from RefSeq and is a predicted model, not a curated record.